This is a long non-coding RNA of Pollicipes pollicipes, 233 nucleotides long. RefSeq lists it as uncharacterized. Lineage: Eukaryota; Metazoa; Arthropoda; Thecostraca; Pollicipedomorpha; Pollicipedidae. The transcript has 3 exons. The record is from RefSeq and is a predicted model, not a curated record.
UCGCCACGCCUGGUAGUCUGCUGCCUGUGGCUUUGCCGCUCACCACCUCCCUGCUGGUGGGACCGGAUAUCUCGUCUGAGAAGGUGCGGCUGAUGAUGGAGGAAGAAGAGGAGGCGGUGGAGCCGCAGAAGUACGACGUCGUGUUCGGGCACAACUGGCAGAGUCGUCAUGCCUAUCAGACAGAAGCCGUGCCCCGCCUUCCGCCGCCACAGGACGCCAUCUGUACGCCGCGC